RNAcentral lists this long non-coding RNA (1978 nucleotides) under Trifolium pratense (red clover). RNAcentral's name for it is "long non-coding RNA (TPRA_LNC013657)". Lineage: Eukaryota; Viridiplantae; Streptophyta; Magnoliopsida; Fabales; Fabaceae. The record is from RNAcentral.
CUUGUUGGAUGAUAUAUAAUUAUCUUAUAUUGUCUGAUACAGUCUUAUAGACUAUAGUAUCUCAGAUGACUCCUUAAAAUUAGUUCCCACAUUUCUUAGCUUUUAUUAUGAUUUGUAUCCCUAUUUGGUACUUUGAGGCUUGCAUUAGUUUAAGGAAGUGAAUAACAUGCACCAAUUUUUAGUGGUGCAAUAGUGAGGUAAUUUCAGAUAUUCCCUAGUCCUUCUACUAUAAAACAAACAGGAUAGGAAAUAACAAAAGAUUAAAAGAGCAACGACUGUGGCCACCCAAUGACCUUCAUCGUAUUUCCCUUCCCACAGAACUGUGAUCAGAAAUUACCUCUGCCACUUAGUGCUACUGCUUGGAAUUGAAACUCUGCUAAUAUUUGGAACAUUAUUCUUGUCAAUUGUAUGCAAACCCUGUAGAGAUUACUAUUAUUGUUGUUAUUUUGCUUCUAAUUUAACUAAAUAUUCUUACAGGAACUGAUUUGGGCUGAAUUAGGGUUCUGUUGUGUUAAUCAGAAGGAUUUUCUAUUGAGUGUUUGUCUGAGAAACAUGUUGAAGCAAGCAAUUGGAAGAUUUUGCAGCAGAGGAAAUGUUUAUGUUUCUGAAGGAAACAGAGUUUUGCCUUCGAUUUAUGUGCCUUUGUGUAGUUUCCACAAUGGACAAGUAAACUCUCAUAUUCUUCCAUUCAAAGCUUGUGUUUUAGUAUUUCCUUAUGUUACUUGAAUUUCUUAGUUAUCUUUUUACUAGAAUAGUUGAAUUUGGCUGAAUAUAGAUUUAAGUGAAUGAAUCUGAGUGAAACAUAUGGUUGAAAAGGUCUAUGGUUCAAAUGUAUAGCAAAUUGAAAACACAUUUAAAAAGGAACAAAAACUCUUGCAUAAAUAUUGCAUAUGAACACACAAGAUAAGGACAAACAUGAGUCACACACAAAUUAAGAGAACAAACAAUCGUCAUUAUAAGAAAGGUUAAGUUGAAAAUUCAAGGCACAAGGUUAAGUUGACUAGCGGGUCUGUUUAUAUGAACAGUUUAAUCAAGUGCUUAAACAACCUAGGAAACUGUUAUGGACAAAGUCAUACCAAUCAACUCCAAUCCAACUUGUAAUUCAUCAAAAAAUUCUUGAAACAUGCAUAAUAUAUAAUUAUGUAUGGACCUGCAUUUUGACAAGCUAUAGUUAUGUUCCCAACCAUAAUGUUAUUUAAUCAUCAUCAACUACAAUAAAUAUCAAUUAUCAUCAAACACGUAUCCGCGAAACCAAUCGUGGGCAAAAGAAGCACCUUUCACCAUAGUAGUAUCGUCAAAAUUAAAAUGAUAAUUAUGUUUUGUGGUUCGCAUCGGUCCAUCGUUAAGUGAAGCGCAAACAUUAGAGAUGAUGUAUAUAUUCUCUUCUUUGAUCUUUUCAUUGAAACGUGUCCAUAGAUUACAAUGUAUAGAUGCACCAAUUUUUACACCCUGUUCAAAAAAAGUAAAAAAAAAAUCAAUAUCCAUAUUUCAUGAUAAACUCAAACUAACAUAUAAAAAAUAGAUAGACCUUUGAAUCCAUAAGAAUCAAUUCCAUCGGUAAAGAUGGUUCGUAAGACAUGAUGUUUUUAACGGACCAGCAUCGCAGGAUGCGUACGACCAUGGUAUAAUAAUCUUUCACAUUGUUAACAUCACUUAAACAAUCAUAAAAGGAAUCUCCUUUAUUUUGUUGAUAGGAUUGUAAAAGUGAAUUUGUGGGUAUGGAGUCGUAGAAAUGCCACCCUAUUUAUAGUAGUAUUGCAAAUCAAAAUGAAGUUAUAUAAAAGUUACCUUGCUUGAUACAAUCCCUAUAAUGUCGUUUGUAUUCAAAGCUUUUAAUGAUAAUUGAUAUUUAUUGUAGUUACAAAAUCAGUGGCUGAGUUGUAUUUCUUGUUCACGAAAAGAUAAAAAAAUCUCCAAAGAAGAUAGAAGUAGAGAGGUCACACACCUUUAUUUGUCGCAGAUCUUUUGAAAAUUCUGG